RNAcentral lists this ribosomal RNA (253 nucleotides) under uncultured bacterium. RNAcentral's name for it is "partial 16S ribosomal RNA". It matches the Rfam family "Bacterial small subunit ribosomal RNA", at positions 524 to 776 of the family's 1533-position model. The record is from RNAcentral.
UACGAAGGGGGCUAGCGUUGCUCGGAAUCACUGGGCGUAAAGCGCACGUAGGCGGCUUUUUAAGUCAGGGGUGAAAUCCUGGAGCUCAACUCCAGAACUGCCUUCGAUACUGGAAGACUUGAGUCCAGGAGAGGUGAGUGGAACUGCGAGUGUAGAGGUGAAAUUCGUAGAUAUUCGCAAGAACACCAGUGGCGAAGGCGGCUCACUGGCCCGGUACUGACGCUGAGGUGCGAAAGCGUGGGGAGCAAACAGG